AUGUCCCUUGUCUGUUAUUUCAUUAGGUGGUUAACAUUCCAAGCUUGUCCAUUUAGAGGCCAUGAUGAAUCUCCAGGAUCCCUAAACCAGGGUAAUUUUCUUGAGUUGGUAAAGCUUUUGGCUGCUUAUAACAAGGAUGUUAGAGAUGUUGUCUUGGAAAAUGCUCCACAAAAUGCCAAGUACACCUCACACCCCGUUCAGCAAGAAAUCCUUGGUUUACUUUCCAGGAAAGUGCAUAAAAGUAUUAGAGAAGAAAUUGGCAAUAGCAAAUUUUGUAUAAUGGUGGACGAGUCUAGAGAUGAAUCUAAAAAGGAGCAGAUGGCACUGGUCAUUCGGUUUGCUAAUAAAGAAGGGUACAUAGAUGAGCGCUUC
This 372-nucleotide ribosomal RNA is filed under the name Triticum aestivum (bread wheat). Its description in RNAcentral is "partial small subunit ribosomal RNA". Lineage: Eukaryota; Viridiplantae; Streptophyta; Magnoliopsida; Poales; Poaceae. The record is from RNAcentral.